Molecule: ribosomal RNA, 479 nt
Filed under: uncultured bacterium
Lineage: Bacteria
Description: partial 16S ribosomal RNA
Rfam family: Bacterial small subunit ribosomal RNA
Source: RNAcentral
GACGAACGCUGGCGGCGUGCUUAACACAUGCAAGUCGAGCGAUGAAGCACCUUCGGGUGUGAAUUAGCGGCGAACGGGUGAGGAACACGUGAGAAAUCUGCCUUCAACACUGGGAUAACUCCGGGAAACCGGGGCUAAUACCGGAUAUGAAACCUGCGGGCAUCCGCGGGUUUGGAAAGUUUUCCGGUUGAAGAUGAUCUCGCGGCCUAUCAGCUUGUUGGUGAGGUAAUGGCUCACCAAGGCGACGACGGGUAGCCGGCCUGAGAGGGCGACCGGCCACACUGGGACUGAGACACGGCCUAGACUCCUACGGGAGGCAGCAGUGGGGAAUAUUGGGCAAUGGAGGAAACUCUGACCCAGCGACGCCGCGUGCGGGAUGAAGGCCUUCGGGUUGUAAACCGCUUUCAGCAGGGAAGAAGCGAAAGUGACGGUACCUGCAGAAGAAGCACCGGCUAACUAUGUGCCAGCAGCCGCAGUAA